Molecule: long non-coding RNA, 448 nt
Organism: Galeopterus variegatus (Sunda flying lemur)
Lineage: Eukaryota; Metazoa; Chordata; Mammalia; Dermoptera; Cynocephalidae
Exons: 2
Source: RefSeq, a predicted model, not a curated record
CUCUGCCAUCAUCUUUUAGGAACCGAAGGAGAUUUUAUUUUCUCAGAAGGGAUUUUUGCUACCAGAACAGGACGUGAUGGAUCAAGACUGGUCUCUUUUCACGUUGUUACCAGAUGUCUUUACAGGGCAAAAUCCAGAACUUUCCCAGCCCUCGGAAUGUGCUGAGGAGGUGAACUGUCAAGAACACAGACUGAUAGGAGCCUGGUAAAUGAAAAAGGAAACUACAAGUUGUGUCUUUGUUCGUGGAGAUCCUGUUUCUUUGUGCUCAGAGGUGCAGCCACUCAGAACAGUCAACUGGUGACUCACGCAGCUCCUUCCCCAACCCCCAACACUUUCUUUAAAACUCCCUGCCUGUACGCAUUCUCAGAGAUCAGGAUGUUUCUGAGCUUUAGCCACCUGGAAUCUAUUACUUGGUCUUGUAAUUAAAGCUUAAUUUCCCUCACUGCAA